AGCGAACGCUGGCGGCAGGCCUAACACAUGCAAGUCGAACGGAUCCUUCGGGAUUAGUGGCGGACGGGUGAGUAACACGUGGGAACGUGCCUUUUGGUUCGGAACAACUCAGGGAAACUUGAGCUAAUACCGGAUGUGCCCUUCGGGGAAGGAUUAUCGCCAUUAGAGCGGCCCGCGUCUGAUUAGCUAGUUGGUGAGGUAAAGGCUCACCAAGGCGACGAUCAGUAGCUGGUCUGAGAGGAUGAUCAGCCACAUUGGGACUGAGACACGGCCCAAACUCCUACGGGAGGCAGCAGUGGGGAAUCUUGCGCAAUGGGCGAAAGCCUGACGCAGCCAUGCCGCGUGAAUGAUGAAGGUCCUCUGGAUUGUAAACUUUCUUUUAUUUGGGAAGAAACCCACGUUUCUAAUGUGGUUGACGUACCAGAUGAAUAAGCACCGGCUAACUCCGUGCCAGCAGCCG
RNAcentral lists this ribosomal RNA (460 nucleotides) under uncultured bacterium. Its description in RNAcentral is "bacterial SSU rRNA". It matches the Rfam family "Bacterial small subunit ribosomal RNA", at positions 29 to 517 of the family's 1533-position model. The record is from RNAcentral.